Molecule: ribosomal RNA, 365 nt
Filed under: uncultured bacterium
Lineage: Bacteria
Description: bacterial SSU rRNA
Rfam family: Bacterial small subunit ribosomal RNA
Source: RNAcentral
GGAGGAUCCAAGCGUUAUCCGGAAUCAUUGGGUUUAAAGGGUCCGUAGGCGGUCUUGUAAGUCAGUGGUGAAAGCCCAUCGCUCAACGGUGGAACGGCCAUUGAUACUGCAGGACUUGAAUUAUUGGGAAGUAACUAGAAUAUGUAGUGUAGCGGUGAAAUGCUUAGAGAUUACAUGGAAUACCAAUUGCGAGGGCAGGUUACUACCAAUUUAUUGACGCUGAUGGACGAAAGCGUGGGUAGCGAACAGGAUUAGAUACCCUGGUAGUCCACGCCGUAAACGAUGGAUACUAGCUGUUGGGAGCAAUCUCAGUGGCUAAGCGAAAGUGAUAAGUAUCCCACCUGGGGAGUACGAACGCAAGUUUG